Molecule: unclassified non-coding RNA, 328 nt
Filed under: soil metagenome
Description: partial contains 5.8S ribosomal RNA, internal transcribed spacer 2, and large subunit ribosomal RNA
Rfam family: 5.8S ribosomal RNA (bases 1-120)
Source: RNAcentral
GAUGAAGAACGUAGUGAAAUGCGAUAAGUAAUGUGAAUUGCAGAAUUCAGUGAAUCAUCGAAUCUUUGAACGCACAUUGCGCCCCUUGGUAUUCCGAGGGGCAUGCCUGUUCGAGCGUCAUUAUAACCCCUCAAGCUCAGCUUGGUGUUGGGGCCUGCUGCACUGGCAGCCCUUAAAAUCAGUGGCGGCGCCGUCUGGCUCUAAGCGUAGUAAUUCUUCUCGCUAUGGAGUCCUGGUGGAUGCUUGCCAUCAACCCCCAAUUUUUCUAUGGUUGACCUCGGAUCAGGUAGGGAUACCCGCUGAACUUAAGCAUAUCAAAAGCGGAGGA